Long non-coding RNA from Herpailurus yagouaroundi (jaguarundi), 158 nucleotides. RefSeq lists it as uncharacterized. Lineage: Eukaryota; Metazoa; Chordata; Mammalia; Carnivora; Felidae. The transcript is spliced from 3 exons. The record is from RefSeq and is a predicted model, not a curated record.
GUUCCUGCAGCUUUGCCUUCUUCUUAUCCCAUGAAGCUUCCUCACAUCUGCCCCCCGACUUGUGCGAGGACCCUGGAGUCCUGGGUCAUCUAUGCCCCUUAUGGCCCAGGACCCUAGAGUCUGUGCCCCCACUGCUUUUUGGAACCAUGAAAUCAGCC